Molecule: ribosomal RNA, 429 nt
Filed under: Chloroflexota bacterium
Lineage: Bacteria; Bacillati; Chloroflexota
Description: Chloroflexi bacterium partial 16S ribosomal RNA
Rfam family: Bacterial small subunit ribosomal RNA
Source: RNAcentral
UGGGGAAUAUUGCACAAUGGGCGCAAGCCUGAUGCAGCCAUGCCGCGUGUAUGAAGAAGGCCUUCGGGUUGUAAAGUACUUUCAGUCGGGAGGAAGGUGUCAAGGUUAAUAACCUUGGCAAUUGACGUUACCGACAGAAGAAGCACCGGCUAACUCCGUGCCAGCAGCCGCGGUAAUACGGAGGGUGCAAGCGUUAAUCGGAAUUACUGGACGUAAAGCGCACGCAGGCGGUCUGUCAAGUCGGAUGUGAAAUCCCCGGGCUUAACCUGGGAACUGCAUUCGAAACUGGCAGGCUAGAGUCUUGUAGAGGGGGGUAGAAUUCCAGGUGUAGCGGUGAAAUGCGUAGAGAUCUGGAGGAAUACCGGUGGCGAAGGCGGCCCCCUGGACGAAGACUGACGCUCAGGUGCGAAAGCGUGGGGAGCAAACAGG